CUCAACCUGAACUCAGUCGUGAUUACCCGCUGAACUUAAGCAUAUCAUUUAGCGGAGGAAAAGAAACUAAAAAGGAUUCCCUUAGUAACGGCGAGUGAAACGGGAAGAGCCCAGCGCCGAAUCGUUCAGUCUUUGGCUGCUUCGAAAUGUGGCGUAUAGGUGUAGUCUUCUAGCAGUAUCGUAUGUCCGAAGUCCUUACGAUUGAGGCCAUAAACCAGAGAGGGUGCGAGCCCCGUUCUGGAUAGCGAUGCUGUUGGUUUGGCUGCUCCUUGGAGUCGGGUUGCUUGAAAGUGCAGCCUAAAG
This 303-nucleotide ribosomal RNA is filed under the name Caenorhabditis remanei. Its description in RNAcentral is "eukaryotic LSU rRNA". It matches the Rfam family "Eukaryotic large subunit ribosomal RNA", at positions 1 to 292 of the family's 3401-position model. Lineage: Eukaryota; Metazoa; Nematoda; Chromadorea; Rhabditida; Rhabditidae. The record is from RNAcentral.